Molecule: ribosomal RNA, 244 nt
Filed under: Clostridioides difficile
Lineage: Bacteria; Bacillati; Bacillota; Clostridia; Peptostreptococcales; Peptostreptococcaceae
Description: partial 23S ribosomal RNA
Rfam family: Bacterial large subunit ribosomal RNA
Source: RNAcentral
CGACGGGGAGGUUUGGCACCGCGAUGUCGGCUCAUCACAUCCUGGGGCUGUAGUAGGUCCCAAGGGUUGGGCUGUUCGCCCAUUAAAGUGGUACGCGAGCUGGGUUCAGAACGUCGGGAGACAGUUCGGUCCCUAUCCGUCGCAGGCGUAGGAAAUUUGAGAAGACCUGUCCUUAGUACGAGAGGACCGGGAUGGACGUACCUCUGGUGUACCAGUUGUCCUGCCAAGGGCAUGGCUGGGUAGC